This 523-nucleotide ribosomal RNA is filed under the name uncultured bacterium. RNAcentral's name for it is "bacterial SSU rRNA". It matches the Rfam family "Bacterial small subunit ribosomal RNA", at positions 28 to 575 of the family's 1533-position model. The record is from RNAcentral.
CCUGAACGCUGGCGGCGUGGCUAAGACAUGCAAGUCGAACGGGUGUAGCAAUACACCAGUGGCGGACGGGUGAGUAAUGUAUAGCUAACGUGCCCCUUGGACAGGGAUAGCCAUCCGAAAGGAUGGGUAAUACCUGGUGACAUAACCUGGUCGCAUGGCCGGGUUCUCAUAGGCCGCAAGGCGCCAAGGGAGCGGGCUAUAUUGUAUCAGCUAGUUGGUGAGGUAAUGGCUCACCAAGGCGACGACGCAUAGCCGGACUAAGAGGUUGUCCGGCCACAUUGGGACUGAGACACUGCCCAGACUCCUACGGGGGGCUGCAGUAACGAAUCUUCCGCAAUGCACGAAAGUGUGACGGAGCGACGCCGCGUGUGGGAUGAAGUUCUUCGGAAUGUAAACCACUGUCAGGGGUUAGAAAGUUCUGAUCAACCCCAGAGGAAGGCACGGCUAACUCUGUGCCAGCAGCCGCGGUAAGACAGAGGUGCCAAGCGUUAGGCGGAAUCACUGGGCUUAAAGCGUGUGUAGG